RNAcentral lists this ribosomal RNA (253 nucleotides) under uncultured bacterium. RNAcentral's name for it is "partial 16S ribosomal RNA". It matches the Rfam family "Bacterial small subunit ribosomal RNA", at positions 524 to 776 of the family's 1533-position model. The record is from RNAcentral.
UACGUAGGGUGCAAGCGUUAAUCGGAAUUACUGGGCGUAUAGCGUGCGCAGGCGGUUUUGUAAGACAGAGGUGAAAUCCCCGGGCUCAACCUGGGAACUGCCUUUGUGACUGCAAGGCUUGAGUGCGGCAGAGGGGGAUGGAAUUCCGCGUGUAGCAGUGAAAUGCGUAGAUAUGCGGAGGAACACCGAUGGCGAAGGCAAUCCCCUGGGCCUGCACUGACGCUCAUGCACGAAAGCGUGGGGAGCAAACAGG